RNAcentral lists this ribosomal RNA (375 nucleotides) under uncultured bacterium. Its description in RNAcentral is "bacterial SSU rRNA". It matches the Rfam family "Bacterial small subunit ribosomal RNA", at positions 1007 to 1382 of the family's 1533-position model. The record is from RNAcentral.
CAUGGUCCUCCCGUAAGGGACAUCAGUACAGGUGGUGCAUGGCUGUCGUCAGCUCGUGUCGUGAGAUUGUUGGGUUAAGUCCCGCAACGAGCGCAACCCUUUAUUCUUAGUUGUUUUCCCUUUGGGAUUACCCUCUAAGAAGACUGCCUCGGAUAACGGGGAGGAAGGUGGGAUGACGUCAAGUCCGCAUGCUCCUUACGUCUAGGGCUACACGCGUCCUACAAUGGGGUCGACAAUGGGAUGCAAUAUCGCAAGAUGGAGCCAAUCCCCAAACGGCCUCUCAGUUCGGAUUGUAGUCUGCAACUCGACUACAUGAAGUUGGAAUCGCUAGUAAUGGCAGAUCAGCAUGCUGCCGUGAAUACGUUCCCGGGUCUU